GGGACACGUGGUAUCCUGUCUGAAUAUGGGGGGACCAUCCUCCAAGGCUAAAUACUCCUGACUGACCGAUAGUGAACCAGUACCGUGAGGGAAAGGCGAAAAGAACCCCGGCGAGGGGAGUGAAAAAGAACCUGAAACCGUGUACGUACAAGCAGUGGGAGCACCUUUAUGGUGUGACUGCGUACCUUUUGUAUAAUGGGUCAGCGACUUAUAUUCUGUAGCAAGGUUAACCGUAUAGGGGAGCCGCAGGGAAACCGAGUCUUAACUGGGCGUUAAGUUGCAGGGUAUAGACCCGAAACCCGGUGAUCUAGCCAUGGGCAGGUUGAAGGUUGGGUAACACUAACUGGAGGACCGAACCGACUAAUGUUGAAAAAUUAGCGGAUGACUUGUGGCUGGGGGUGAAAGGCCAAUCAAACCGGGAGAUAGCUGGUUCUCCCCGAAAGCU
This 445-nucleotide ribosomal RNA is filed under the name Klebsiella aerogenes. RNAcentral's name for it is "partial 23S ribosomal RNA". It matches the Rfam family "Bacterial large subunit ribosomal RNA", at positions 419 to 867 of the family's 2925-position model. RNAcentral also lists the same sequence under 4 other names. Lineage: Bacteria; Pseudomonadati; Pseudomonadota; Gammaproteobacteria; Enterobacterales; Enterobacteriaceae. The record is from RNAcentral.